This 377-nucleotide ribosomal RNA is filed under the name uncultured bacterium. RNAcentral describes it as "bacterial SSU rRNA". It matches the Rfam family "Bacterial small subunit ribosomal RNA", at positions 521 to 896 of the family's 1533-position model. The record is from RNAcentral.
UAAUACGAGGGGAGCAAGCGUUGUUCGGAAUCAUUGGGCGUAAAGGGCGCGUAGGCGGUCUGGCAAGUCUAAGGUGAAAUCCCUCGGCUCAACCGAGGAACUGCCUUGGAAACUGCCGGACUUGAGUUCCGGAGAGGAAAGCAGAAUUCCCAGUGUAGCGGUGAAAUGCGUAGAUAUUGGGAGGAAUACCGGUGGCGAAGGCGGCUUUCUGGACGGAAACUGACGCUGAGGCGCGAAAGCUAGGGGAGCAAACGGGAUUAGAUACCCCGGUAGUCCUAGCCGUAAACGAUGGACACUUGGUGUUGGGGGUAUUGAGUCCCUCAGUGCCGUAGUUAACACGAUAAGUGUCCCGCCUGGGGAGUACGGUCGCAAGACUG